UACGGGAGGCAGCAGUGGGGAAUAUUGCACAAUGGGCAGAAGCCUGAUGCAGCGACGCCGCGUGAGGGAUGACGGCCUUCGGGUUGUAAACCUCUUUCAGCAGGGACGAAGCGUAAGUGACGGUACCUGCAGAAGAAGCACCGGCCAACUACGUGCCAGCAGCCGCGGUAAGACGUAGGGUGCGAGCGUUGUCCGGAUUUAUUGGGCGUAAAGAGCUCGUAGGCGGCUUGUCGCGUCGACUGUGAAAACCCGCAGCUCAACUGCGGGCCUGCAGUCGAUACGGGCAGGCUAGAGUUCGGUAGGGGAGACUGGAAUUCCUGGUGUAGCGGUGAAAUGCGCAGAUAUCAGGAGGAACACCGGUGGCGAAGGCGGGUCUCUGGGCCGAUACUGACGCUGAGGAGCGAAAGCGUGGGGAGCGAACAGGAUUAGAUACCCUGGUAGUCCACGCUGUAAACGUUGGGCGCUAGGUGUGGGGGGCCUCUCCGGUUCCCUGUGCCGCAGCUAACGCAUUAAGCGCCCCGCCUGGGGAGUACGGCCGCAAGGCUAAAACUCAAAGGAAUUGACGGAAGC
This 570-nucleotide ribosomal RNA is filed under the name uncultured bacterium. Its description in RNAcentral is "bacterial SSU rRNA". It matches the Rfam family "Bacterial small subunit ribosomal RNA", at positions 340 to 920 of the family's 1533-position model. The record is from RNAcentral.